AUACACACACAUUACAUAAAAGGGGGCCAAGAUUUUGAGGGGACAAAAAAUAACAAUUGAGGAGAAAGAAAAACGAGAUUGAAAGCAAAGUAAAAGAAGGGAAUCCGAAAAAGAGUUGAAUCUGUUCGAGGUUGCUAAUUUCGGUUCGAGUUCUUAUUCGUACCUUGCUUGAAGAUUAAUAUUUUAGAUCUUUUUUUUUUUUAAAACCGUACCUGUUGGGAAUAUUAUCAGCAAUAAAGCACGAGUAGAAAUCCAGUGGCAUCUCGCCGCCGGUGAUCCGCCGGAGACCAUUCUCUUAGUGGCAGUACUAGUUGAAGAAGCUGAAGACUUCAUUGAAAAUCCGUUAUCAGGAGACCCGAAUAGAUGUAUAUCCGACAUCUCGAACCGACACGAAUCGCCAGGAAGUCUCAUAUCCUUAAGGGUUUAUGCAACUAUGGAGAGGAAGAAGUGGUAGGAGGAGGUAAAAUGGAGUUUGGGUGGUGAAGUGGCAUUGCCAUGUGGCAUCUAUAUCAUCAAAAAGUCAGGCCAUGUGUGAUGAUGUUGGACAUGGUGGACGAUUUAAUGGACUAAGGGUAUUUUUGUACCAAUUUUAUAACGUCAGGGGCUGUAGUAGACCAAUAGUAUAACGGAGGGUAUAUGUAAUCCUUUUCAUAUAGUAAAGGAAUAUUUUUGACCCUUUUCCGAAAAAAAAAUGACGUGAUUUUUUAUAUAUUCCAGCUUUGGUUUCCUUUA
This is a long non-coding RNA of Nicotiana attenuata, 732 nucleotides long. RefSeq lists it as uncharacterized. NCBI's taxonomy places the organism in Eukaryota, Viridiplantae, Streptophyta, Magnoliopsida, Solanales, Solanaceae. The transcript has 3 exons. The record is from RefSeq and is a predicted model, not a curated record.